Long non-coding RNA from Gallus gallus (chicken), 265 nucleotides. Lineage: Eukaryota; Metazoa; Chordata; Aves; Galliformes; Phasianidae. The record is from Ensembl.
GGAUGCGCGCGGUCCGUACGGACACCUCGGGGCAUCUUUUCUUUCCUUAAGGCACAAAGGGGGAUGUCAGCUGAGUGAUCCUGUUUCUCCAGAUCAGUUGGACCUUGCAAAGCUUCCCCCUCAUCUCUUGGAGUUCUGCAAGGACCCAUUUGCAUUGGAUCCAACCUCUGUUGAAGUCAAUGGAAAGCCUCCAGCUGGCUCAUGUAGGUUUCAACAGUCUCUCGACAAUACAAAUGCUGAAAAGAUUGAAUGGGUAAAGUCCAAC